Molecule: ribosomal RNA, 889 nt
Filed under: uncultured bacterium
Lineage: Bacteria
Description: bacterial SSU rRNA
Rfam family: Bacterial small subunit ribosomal RNA
Source: RNAcentral
UGAUUAUGGCUCAGGACGAACGCUGGCGGCGCGCCUAACACAUGCAAGUCGAACGAGAGAUGAGGAGCUUGCUCUUCAAAUCGAGUGGCGAACGGGUGAGUAACGCGUGAGGAACCUGCCUCAAAGAGGGGGACAACAGUUGGAAACGACUGCUAAUACCGCAUAAGCCCACGGCUCGGCAUCGAGCAGAGGGAAAAGGAGCAAUCCGCUUUGAGAUGGCCUCGCGUCCGAUUAGCUGGUUGGCGAGGUAACGGCCCACCAAGGCAACGAUCGGUAGCCGGACUGAGAGGUUGAACGGCCACAUUGGGACUGAGACACGGCCCAGACUCCUACGGGAGGCAGCAGUGGGGAAUAUUGCACAAUGGGGGAAACCCUGAUGCAGCGACGCCGCGUGGAGGAAGAAGGUCUUCGGAUUGUAAACUCCUGUUGUUGAGGAAGAUAAUGACGGUACUCAACAAGGAAGUGACGGCUAACUACGUGCCAGCAGCCGCGGUAAAACGUAGGUCACAAGCGUUGUCCGGAAUUACUGGGUGUAAAGGGAGCGCAGGCGGGAGAACAAGUUGGAAGUGAAAUCCAUGGGCUCAACCCAUGAACUGCUUUCAAAACUGUUUUUCUUGAGUAGUGCAGAGGUAGGCGGAAUUCCCGGUGUAGCGGUGGAAUGCGUAGAUAUCGGGAGGAACACCAGUGGCGAAGGCGGCCUACUGGGCACCAACUGACGCUGAGGCUCGAAAGUGUGGGUAGCAAACAGGAUUAGAUACCCUGGUAGUCCACACCGUAAACGAUGACUACUAGGUGUUGGAGGAUUGACCCCUUCAGUGCCGCAGUUAACACAAUAAGUAAUCCACCUGGGGAGUACGACCGCAAGGUUGCAACUCAAAGGAAUUGACGG